CCUACGGUGGGCUGCAGUGGGGAAUAUUGGACAAUGGGCGAAAGCCUGAUCCAGCCAUGCCGCGUGUGUGAAGAAGGCCUUCGGGUUGUAAAGCACUUUCAGUGGGGAAGAAAGCCUUGGGGCUAAUACCCUCGAGGAAGGACAUCACCCACAGAAGAAGCACCGGCUAACUCCGUGCCAGCAGCCGCGGUAAUACGGAGGGUGCGAGCGUUAAUCGGAAUUACUGGGCGUAAAGCGCGCGUAGGCGGUCUGAUAAGCCGGUUGUGAAAGCCCCGGGCUCAACCUGGGAACGGCAUCCGGAACUGUCAGGCUAGAGUGCAGGAGAGGAAGGUAGAAUUCCCGGGGUAGCGGUGAAAUGCGUAGAGAUCGGGAGGAAUACCAGUGGCGAAGGCGGCUUUCUGGACUGACACUGACGCUGAGGUGCGAAAGCGUGGGUAGCAAACAGGAUUAGAUACCCUCAGUAGUC
Molecule: ribosomal RNA, 466 nt
Filed under: Vreelandella stevensii
Lineage: Bacteria; Pseudomonadati; Pseudomonadota; Gammaproteobacteria; Oceanospirillales; Halomonadaceae
Description: partial 16S ribosomal RNA
Rfam family: Bacterial small subunit ribosomal RNA
Source: RNAcentral